CAAUAACUAAGUACUUGAAGAUAAGAGGAUGAUAUAAGAAUAGUUGCUGCAUCUACAAUCCAACCCUAAGGUUAUUUGUUCCUUUUGAUCCAAGUGGAAGACUAACCUUGGCUAUGGCAUAGAAGGACCUGUGGAGUUCUACAUGAAAUACAGGAAACAAACUCGUAGACCAACUGGAGACCCUGUGAGGACCCAAUGAGCCAAUUUGCAAGCCAAGAAGAGAGUCCGCAGGAGAAACCAACCCUGCUGAUACCUUCUCUACCUAUUUUAUAUUCCCUCAAUUACAUGACUUGAUGGAUUUCCAGCCUCCAGAACUGUGACAAAAUAAAUUUUUGUUAUUUAA
Molecule: long non-coding RNA, 343 nt
Organism: Eptesicus fuscus (big brown bat)
Lineage: Eukaryota; Metazoa; Chordata; Mammalia; Chiroptera; Vespertilionidae
Exons: 3
Source: RefSeq, a predicted model, not a curated record